GAUGAAGAACGUAGCGAAAUGCGAUAAGUAAUGUGAAUUGCAGAAUUCAGUGAAUCAUCGAAUCUUUGAACGCACAUUGCGCCCGCCAGUAUUCUGGCGGGCAUGCCUGUUCGAGCGUCAUUUCAACCAUCAAGCCCCCGGCUUGUGUUGGGGACCUGCGGCUGCCCGCAGGCCCUGAAAACCAGUGGCGGUCUAGCUGUCACACCGAGCGUAGUAAGCAUUAUCUCGCUCAGGGCGUGCUGCGGGUUCCGGCCGUUAAAUGAAAAGCCUUCGUAGCCCAAGGUUGACCUCGGAUCAGGUAGGAAGACCCGCUGAACUUAAGCAUAUCAAUAAGCGGAGGA
This 341-nucleotide unclassified non-coding RNA is filed under the name soil metagenome. RNAcentral's name for it is "partial contains 5.8S ribosomal RNA, internal transcribed spacer 2, and large subunit ribosomal RNA". The stretch from base 1 to 120 matches the Rfam family "5.8S ribosomal RNA", at positions 35 to 154 of the family's 154-position model. The record is from RNAcentral.